This 348-nucleotide ribosomal RNA is filed under the name uncultured bacterium. RNAcentral's name for it is "partial 16S ribosomal RNA". It matches the Rfam family "Bacterial small subunit ribosomal RNA", at positions 477 to 824 of the family's 1533-position model. The record is from RNAcentral.
ACCCUUAGAGGAAGCCCUGGCUAACUACGUGCCAGCAGCCGCGGUAAUACGUAGGGGGCAAGCGUUGUCCGGAUUUACUGGGCGUAAAGGGCUUGUAGGCGGUUUUUUAAGUCAGGUGUGAAAGUUCGGGGCUCAACCCCGGAAUUGCAUUUGAAACUGGAGAACUUGAGUACUGGAGAGGUAAGUGGAAUUCCUAGUGUAGCGGUGAAAUGCGUAGAUAUUANGAGGAACACCAGUGGCGAANGCGGCUUUCUGGACUGUAAUUGACGCUGANGCGCGAANGCGUGGGGAGCGAACAGGAUUAGAUACNCNGNNAGUCCACGCUGNNAACGAUGAAUACNANGUGUC